Molecule: small RNA, 27 nt
Filed under: Bombyx mori (domestic silkworm)
Lineage: Eukaryota; Metazoa; Arthropoda; Insecta; Lepidoptera; Bombycidae
Description: ovarian small RNA-36778
Source: RNAcentral
UUAUAAUCAUGAGCGACAGUUGGCCUC